Molecule: long non-coding RNA, 1235 nt
Filed under: Cricetulus griseus (Chinese hamster)
Lineage: Eukaryota; Metazoa; Chordata; Mammalia; Rodentia; Cricetidae
Description: lncRNA (ENSCGRG00000026481.1)
Source: RNAcentral
AGUCUACUAUUGUUUACCAUGGCCUCAGGGUAAUAUGCCUCCUAUUUGCAUCUCUGUGGGCCUAAGCAUCUGAAUAGGCCUGCACAUGGGCUGAGAUACAAGGUGCAAGGUGUGAAUUGUGUGAAUGACUAGGGAGGGUAGAGGUGAGGAGCUGAGCAAGCAACCAGAGAGGAGAGAAGGGAGAGGAGAAAAAAAGAUAUAGAUGGUUCCCUCGUGGUAUUGGCAGGAUGAUUAAGAAACACCAGAAAAGAUGGCUAAUAAAGAAAUGACUCUAGUUCUACAGCAUGGAACAGAGAGCUCUCUAAAGAUGACAAGAUGCUUGUGUUUGAUCUUUAUCGCCACUGGGUUGCUAGGAGUUUCCAGGUCCACACACCCCCACUCAGGCAGAACCUCAUGGAUUAAUGCUGAGACAUGGUGGGCCACGACAAAAUGGCACCACCACCUCAGGGUCUGAGAACGGGGGAAGAAGCCAUGGACACCACGAAGAAAUGGACAAGGCAGAGGCUUGGACACUUGGAAGAGAUAGUCGUCGUGGGCGAACCGGUUGGAGAAGAAGCAUGAGCAGAAAAAAGAAAAAAGAAGUGGCCGAAUGUGGUGGAGAACGACGUGUGCUGGCUUCUGGAUCGGUUGAUGAGAUGCAUGGAGCAGAGAGGAAUUGGACCUGGGCCCACAGGAGACUGUCGGAACCAGCUGGAGUGAAACACUGAACCUGUAUUCCUGAACUUUGAGGGCAUCUGACCUACAGCUGGAGGCAGAAAGGAGACCCACCCAGUUCCAGUUUUGAGAUGCUUUCCAGAGUUCCAGCUUCCCUACAGACGGACUACAUUCACCUCUCUGAAUCCAUGACUGCUCACCCAGGAGCAGACUUAAGAACUCGACAAAAAAUAGCUUGCUUUCUUGCCACAAACAAACACACAAAAUUGUUUUGCCAGUUUUCCCGUUGGGAAAAAGGACCCAUUUAGGGCAGUCGGAUACUGGCAUAAACCAGAGUGGCAGAAGCUCCUUCACAAUGCUUAAACAAGACAUGGACAAAAGACUUUUUAGUUAACUUUCAAAGACUGAUAUUACAAACCUGAUGUUAGUGUAAGACCCUCAGAAAGCUGAGGCUUCCAGAAUCUUAGCCCAGGACGGCGGCCACCCCAAACACAGAAUGGAGGCGAAAGCUUGAUGCAAACUGCAUGAGGCUUUAUUGUAGUUUAACGAGCUAACCCCAUGUUAGCUCGGGUCUUUCACCC